GCUUAACACAUGCAAGUCGAGGGGCAGCAGGAAGGUAGCUUGCUAUCUUCGCUGGCGACCGGCGCACGGGUGCGUAACACGUAUCGAACCUACCCCAUGCUCAGGGAUAGCCCUCUGAAAGGAGGAUUAACACCUGAUGGUUUCAAACGGCCGCAUGACUGUUUGAAUAAAGUUUUACGGCAUGGGAUGGCGAUGCGUCUGAUUAGCUUGUUGGCGGGGUAACGGCCCACCAAGGCAACGAUCAGUAGGGGUUCUGAGAGGAAGGUCCCCCACACUGGAACUGAGACACGGUCCAGACUCCUACGGGAGGCAGCAGUGAGGAAUAUUGGUCAAUGGUCGAGAGACUGAACCAGCCAAGUAGCGUGCAGGAGGACGGCCCUAUGGGUUGUAAACUGCUUUUAUACGGGAAUAAAGUGAGGCACGCGUGCCUUUUUGUAUGUACCGUAUGAAUAAGCAUCGGCUAAUUCCGUGCCAGCAGCCGCGGUAAUACGGAAGAUGCGGGCGUUAUCCGGAUUUAUUGGGUUUAAAGGGAGCGUAGGCGGGAUGUCAAGUCAGCGGUAAAAUGUCGGCGCCCAACGUCGGCCCGCCGUUGAAACUGGCGUUCUUGAAUGCGGUCAAGGGAGACGGAAUUCGCCAUGUAGCGGUGAAAUGCUUAGAUAUGGCGAAGAACUCCGAUUGCGAAGGCAGUCUCCUGGUCCGUGAUUGACGCUGAGGCUCGAAAGCGCGGGUAUCGAACAGGAUUAGAUACCCUGGUAGUCCGCGCUGUAAACGAUGGAUACUCGUUUUUGGCGAUAUAGUGUCAGAGACCAAGCGAAAGCGUUAAGUAUCCCACCUGGGGAGUACGCCGGCAACGGUGAAACUCAAAGGAAUUGACGGGGGCCCGCACAAGCGGAGGAACAUGUGGUUUAAUUCGAUGAUACGCGAGGAACCUUACCCGGAUUUGAUUGUGCCUGACGAGGAGCCGAGAAGCUCCGUCCCUUCGGGCAGGUAUGAGGUGCUGCAUGGUGUCGUCAGCUCGUGCGUGAGUGUCGCUAGUGCAUACGAGCGCACCCUUGCUGCAGUGCAUCGGUGAUGCGGCACUCUGGCGGACUGCCACCGCAGGUGUGAGGAAGGUGGGGAUGACGUCAAUCAGGACUCCUUACGUCGGCUCACACGUGUUUACAAUGGGGGCCACAGAGCUGCGGUGAGCGUUGGCAACUUGAAUCCUCAUUCGAACUGGAUCUGACGAUCACUGAUACUGAUCGCAUCACCGUGGCGUGCAUAGUC
This 1266-nucleotide ribosomal RNA is filed under the name uncultured rumen bacterium. RNAcentral's name for it is "partial 16S ribosomal RNA". It matches the Rfam family "Bacterial small subunit ribosomal RNA", at positions 46 to 1283 of the family's 1533-position model. The record is from RNAcentral.